Molecule: long non-coding RNA, 778 nt
Organism: Daktulosphaira vitifoliae (grape phylloxera)
Lineage: Eukaryota; Metazoa; Arthropoda; Insecta; Hemiptera; Phylloxeridae
Exons: 3
Source: RefSeq, a predicted model, not a curated record
AGAUUUCUUUUAACACAAUUUAAAAAUCAUGCACUAUAAAUUUAUAAAUUUUGUGAUAAUAUUACAUUAAAAUUGUACUUAAUUUCAAAAAAAAAAAAAAUUAAUUAUAAAUUUUAUUAAAUUAAAUUAUAAAAAUGGUAAUUUAUUUACACAAAAAUUAAGAGUACGUUAUUUGCAAGCUAGAUCUACGCAGAUAAAAAUUUGACUUAGAGGUUAUAGCUUCGAUGCAAAGCUGAGAAGGAUUUUUUUUGUGACUAUCAAUUAUUUUCUCUGCUCUAACUUGACCUACUUUUUUCAACGAUACGUCAAAUGAUUACAAUUAGUUGAAGAUAUUACCCUCAAAAAUUGAAAAAAAUUCUAAUCUAUCAAUUAAACAGUUACUUGUUAAUAAAUUAUUUCAAUAAAUGGCAUUAGGCGGCCCGCGGGAGUUAGAGGGAUUCGAAAUUGAACAAACAUUAUAUCAAAAUUUGGUAAAUUAUUAGUAGUUGGUAUCUAAUAAAAUAUUCGUGUAAAAAAUGUAUGCAUAGUAAAUAAAUGAACAUUUAUUUUUGAUAUAUUUAUAUUUUUUGUUUUAAUAAUACUGUCCGAUUCAUUAUCAAAUUUUGUAGCUAAAAAACAUAUUCAAUUGACUAUUAUCUAUAAUCUGUGACUAUUUGCCUGCCACUAUGAGAGCAGAUUUUGUGCUGAAUUUUAAUUUUAAAAACAAGCUUUUACAAUUAGGAGUAUUAUAGCAAAUUUUCUUUUUCUACUAUAACGUUAAACUUCAAGUCUUUCAAUG